This 468-nucleotide ribosomal RNA is filed under the name uncultured bacterium. Its description in RNAcentral is "partial 16S ribosomal RNA". It matches the Rfam family "Bacterial small subunit ribosomal RNA", at positions 28 to 507 of the family's 1533-position model. The record is from RNAcentral.
GACGAACGCUGGCGGCGUGCUUAACACAUGCAAGUCGAACGGAAAGGCCCUGCUUUUGUGGGUUGCUCGAUUGGCGAACGGGGGAGUAACACGUGAGUAACCUGCCCUUGACUUUGUGAUAACUUCAGGAAACUGGGGCGAAUAUCGGAUAUGAUCUCCUGCUGCAUGGUGGGGGAUGGAAAGUUUCGGCGGUUGGGGAUAGUCUCGCUGCUUAUCAGCUUGAUGGUGUGGUAGUUGCUUACCAAGGCUUUGACGGGUAGCCGGCCUGAGAGGGUGACCGGCCACAUUGGGACUGCGGUACGGACCAGACUGCUACGGGAGGCAGCAGUGGAGAGUAUUGCGGAAUGAGGGGACGCCUGAUACAGCAACGCCGCGUGCGGGAUGACGGCCUUCGAGUUGUAAACAGCUUUCGAAUGUGACGAAGCGUGAGUGACGGUAAUGGGUAAAGAAGCAACGGCUAACUACGUG